GAAAUGCGAUACGUAAUGUGAAUUGCAAAUUCAGUGAAUCAUCGAGUCUUUGAACGCACAUUGCGCCCCCCUGGUAUUCCGGGGGGCAUGCCUGUCCGAGCGUCAUUUCUGCCCUCAAGCACGGCUUGUGUGUUGGGCCCCGUCCUCCGAUCCCGGGGGACGGGCCCGAAAGGCAGCGGCGGCACCGCGUCCGGUCCUCGAGCGUAUGGGGCUUUGUCACCCGCUCUGUAGGCCCGGCCGGCGCUUGCCGAUCAACCCAAAUUUUUAUCCAGGUUGACCUCGGAUCAGGUAGGGAUACCCGCUGAACUUAAGC
Molecule: unclassified non-coding RNA, 313 nt
Filed under: plant metagenome
Description: partial contains 5.8S ribosomal RNA, internal transcribed spacer 2, and large subunit ribosomal RNA
Rfam family: 5.8S ribosomal RNA (bases 1-105)
Source: RNAcentral